Molecule: ribosomal RNA, 1176 nt
Filed under: Phyllomacromia sp. HOL-2009
Lineage: Eukaryota; Metazoa; Arthropoda; Insecta; Odonata; Macromiidae
Description: partial 16S ribosomal RNA
Source: RNAcentral
AUUUACUUGCAUUUAUUGAGUUAUUUUAUUUGAAAUAUCAUUUUACUUAGUAUAUUAAAGAAAAGUUUUAUUGAGUGAUAGUUAAUUAGUAUUGUAAAAGAAUGUGUGAAAUAUAUUAAAUAUUUUGUUUAUUAAAAGUAAUCUUAAUUUGUUGUACCUUUUGUAUCAGGGUUGAUUUAAAUUAAGUAAAUUAUUUUAUUUUCUCGAUUUCAAAAGAGCUACUUUAUUAAUUUACUUAAUGUGGAAUAAUUAUUAAAAAUAUAAUGUGGUUGGGAUAUCCAAUUCGUUUCUAAAGGUAUCUGGUUUCUUAAUAAUUAAAUUUAAUUUAUUCUUUUGCUUUAAAAUUUUUAUUUAUUAAAAUUUUAUAUCUUAAGUUAAAUAUUAUAGGGGAUAAGCUCUAUAUUAUUUCUAUAAUUUAUAUAAAUUAAUUUUUGUGUAGGGUUAGAAUUAUCCAUCCUUGCAGAGUGUGUUAUAAUUUAGAUUUAAUUUUUUUUUGAUUUUUAUUUAUUUAGAAUUUUAUUAAGAUAAUGGAAUUAAUUUUUUAUUUUAUAAAAUAAUGAUUGAAUUAGUAUAAUAUUUUGUUUAUUAUAUAUGGAAUUGUUAGGAUUUUUAUAAGGAACUCGGCAAAUCUAAUUCUCGCCUGUUUAUCAAAAAACAUGGCCUCUUGAAGUAUAAUAAGAGGUUUGACCUGCCCAGUGAUGAAUUUUAACGGCCGCGGUAUUCUGACCGUGCAAAGGUAGCAUAAUCAUUAGUCUUUUAAAAGGAGGCUGGAAUGAAGGGUUUGACGAAGAAUUGACUGUCUCAUAUUAUAUGAAAUUAAAAUUUAACUUUUUAGUCAAAAGGCUAAAAUAUAAUUGGUAGACGAGAAGACCCUAUAGAGCUUUAUAUUUAUAUUUUAAUAGUAAUAUAUUAUUUUCUGUUAUUAUUUUUAAAUAUUUUGUUGGGGUGACAAAAAUACAUAAUUAACUUUUUUAUUUUUUAUACAUUGAUUUAUGAAUAAUAGAUCCAUUAUUAUUGAUUGAUAGAUUAAGUUACCUUAGGGAUAACAGCGUAAUCCUCUUCCAGAGAUCAAAUUUACGGGAGGGCUUGCGACCUCGAUGUUGGAUUAAGAUAAUAUUUAGGUGUAGCCGCUUAAUAAAUAGGUCUGUUCGACCUUUAAAUUCUUACAUGAUCUGA